UUUAGUGUGUGUGUAUAUGUAUAGAGUAUAUAGCUACACACACACACACACACACACACACACACACACACACACACACACACA
This 84-nucleotide microRNA precursor is filed under the name Pelodiscus sinensis (Chinese soft-shelled turtle). Its description in RNAcentral is "miRNA (ENSPSIG00000019580.1)". The record is from RNAcentral. Lineage: Eukaryota; Metazoa; Chordata; Testudines; Trionychidae.